Molecule: ribosomal RNA, 265 nt
Filed under: uncultured archaeon
Lineage: Archaea
Description: partial 16S ribosomal RNA
Rfam family: Archaeal small subunit ribosomal RNA
Source: RNAcentral
AGUCACUGACAUUAGAUACCCGGGUAGUCCAGGGUGUAAACGCUGCAGACUUGGUGUUGGAGGCCCUUUGGGGGCAUUCAGUGCCGGAGAGAAGUUGUUAAGUCUGCUACUUGGGGAGUACGUCCGCAAGGAUGAAACUUAGAGGAAUUGGCGGGGGAGCACCGCAACGGGAGGAGCGUGCGGUUUAAUUGGAUUCAACACCGUAAAACUCACCAGGGAAGACUGUUACAUGAAGGCCGAGAUGAAGACUCUGCUAGAUUUUCAG